GGCUACAGCCAUGCCACCCUGAACGCCCAAUCUCGUCUGAUCUCGGAAGCUAAGCAGGGUUGGACCUGGUUAGUACUUUGAUGGGAGACCACCUAGGAAUACUGGAUGCUGUAGGCU
Molecule: ribosomal RNA, 117 nt
Filed under: Saimiri boliviensis boliviensis (Bolivian squirrel monkey)
Lineage: Eukaryota; Metazoa; Chordata; Mammalia; Primates; Cebidae
Source: RNAcentral